GUGCCCUCCAGGUGAACAAGUGAUGGUAGACCAUGUGUUGGGGUCUGAGUCCUUCUUGAGCCCAACUUUGGUCCUGUCUCUUGAAGGAAAAGCAUCUCCUGGGAGCUCCCUCUGGGAUGUGAGCCUCCAUCCUGACCUCGUGGAUGCCCCUUUACCUCACCUAGAGGCGCCAAUGGUUCCUAUGUCUGCAGGCCCUGCCCUUGACUGCGGGAUGUUUCUCCCUCUGUGCAGCCUUCCCUGAAGAAAGGCUGGGUGCCAUGGCUUACCCUGUAAUCCCAGCACUUUGAGAGGCCGAGGCGGGCAGAUCACCUGAGGUCAGGAGUUCGAGACCAGCCUGACCAACAUGGAGAAACCUCGUCUCUACUAAAAAUACAAAAUUAGCCGGGUGUGGUGGCGCAUGCCUGUAAUCCCAGCUAUUUGGGAGGCUGAGGCAGGAGAAUCACUUGAACCCGGGAGGCGGAGUUUGCGGUGAGCCAAGAUCGUACCAUCGCACACCAGCCUGAGCAACAAGAGUGAAACUCCGUCUCAAAAAAUAAAAUUAAAUAAAAUUAAAUAUUUUCUUCUUU
Molecule: long non-coding RNA, 566 nt
Organism: Pongo pygmaeus (Bornean orangutan)
Lineage: Eukaryota; Metazoa; Chordata; Mammalia; Primates; Hominidae
Exons: 2
Source: RefSeq, a predicted model, not a curated record